This 700-nucleotide ribosomal RNA is filed under the name Acinetobacter sp. N1-T25. RNAcentral's name for it is "bacterial SSU rRNA". It matches the Rfam family "Bacterial small subunit ribosomal RNA", at positions 8 to 702 of the family's 1533-position model. Lineage: Bacteria; Pseudomonadati; Pseudomonadota; Gammaproteobacteria; Moraxellales; Moraxellaceae. The record is from RNAcentral.
AGAGUUUGAUCAUGGCUCAGAUUAAACGCUGGCGGCAGGCUUAACACAUGCAAGUCGAGCGGGGAAGGGUAGCUUGCUACCUGACCUAGCGGCGGACGGGUGAGUAAUGCUUAGGAAUCUGCCUAUUAGUGGGGGACAACAUUCCGAAAGGAAUGCUAAUACCGCAUACGCCCUACGGGGGAAAGCAGGGGAUCUUCGGACCUUGCGCUAAUAGAUGAGCCUAAGUCAGAUUAGCUAGUUGGUGGGGUAAAGGCCUACCAAGGCGACGAUCUGUAGCGGGUCUGAGAGGAUGAUCCGCCACACUGGGACUGAGACACGGCCCAGACUCCUACGGGAGGCAGCAGUGGGGAAUAUUGGACAAUGGGCGCAAGCCUGAUCCAGCCAUGCCGCGUGUGUGAAGAAGGCCUUUUGGUUGUAAAGCACUUUAAGCGAGGAGGAGGCUACUUGGAUUAAUACUCUAGGAUAGUGGACGUUACUCGCAGAAUAAGCACCGGCUAACUCUGUGCCAGCAGCCGCGGUAAUACAGAGGGUGCGAGCGUUAAUCGGAUUUACUGGGCGUAAAGCGUGCGUAGGCGGCUUUUUAAGUCGGAUGUGAAAUCCCUGAGCUUAACUUAGGAAUUGCAUUCGAUACUGGGAAGCUAGAGUAUGGGAGAGGAUGGUAGAAUUCCAGGUGUAGCGGUGAAAUGCGUAGAGAUCUGGA